Molecule: long non-coding RNA, 1185 nt
Organism: Mastomys coucha (southern multimammate mouse)
Lineage: Eukaryota; Metazoa; Chordata; Mammalia; Rodentia; Muridae
Exons: 3
Source: RefSeq, a predicted model, not a curated record
UCCAGGCUUCCUUCCAGCCAGGAUCACGAAGCACGGAAAGCUUCUAGGAAACCUACAUGGUGCGAUUUCCUGCAGGCUCAGCAGCCCGGGUAAAUGCCCAGAGCAAUCGAACCAACAGUCCUUGCUUGGCACGGGGCUCUUCACUCCUGAUCACGCCUGACACCGGAAGCUCCAAGCCCUGGCUUCCCAGGAAGACCAAGUCACGGUGCCACAGAGAGGGUGUUACAGCAGCAGUACUUUCCACACCCAGAAAGAGCUACGAUUCUGCCCACUAAAAAUAACAAUGCUUGUGAAGUUGUAGAGAAAGAACAAACUCCUAAACACUCUGAUACUGAAAACAGUUCAGUUUCCCACUACUCCCUGAGGAGAUCUUUUUCCUGGCUGAGAAAAGGAAGGCUCAGGAUGCUGAAGGACUGGGUCAAGGUUGCUAAGCUCGUUAGAGUUGGAAUCUCUCCGUGGGACUGAAGCCAUGAGGGCAUCCUCAGUCUAAAUCCACACAUGUGCUCAGCCUGCCUCUCAGGCCAGCAACCGUCGAGGCUCCAGUCUAGAGUUAACGAAAGCAGCAGCCCACCUCAGAAUCAUAAAGGGCUCCGUCUUCAUCACCUCCUAUGCAGAGGACCUAGUGUGAAAAAGACCACUGAUUACCUGCUUGUUCCAAGGCGUGGAUCUUGGUCACAAUUUGUUAUAUCUUAAGGUGUGUUGUAACCAACAGGUCCCAGCUUGUGGUCUGACGCUUUCCCUAAGAUAAGAGCUACAUAGAGCCAGCCUUCAAAACAUCGAGUUUCCACUUAUCUGUUGUUGUUGUUGUUGUUCCUUCCUUCGUUCCUUCCUCCUUUCCUCCUCCUCUUCAGUUUUACUUACACCGUUUCAUACCAGCUCUAAUAAGAGGCAGACCACCACCACACCCUGCUUUUUCACUGGAGAAUUUAAUGAGCAAAUUCCUGUUCUCUCAUCCUUGUCACUUAGGAAAUGUUUACUAAAACUGGUUCAAGGAUGGCUGGUAUGGAAACCCACUUAAUCUUCCCAUUGGCUGGCAAUGAAAUUAUAUUAAGCUACUGUGAAUCUUUCCAGUCAUUCAGAAAAGACAAAACUCCAAAAACAUAGUACUCUUAGCUUUGUUUAAGAAAAACGGUUUGAAUAGAAGGGGAAAAAAUGUCACAAAAUGGAUACUCUAAUCCUCAGUUG